RNAcentral lists this ribosomal RNA (436 nucleotides) under uncultured Oscillospiraceae bacterium. RNAcentral's name for it is "partial 16S ribosomal RNA". It matches the Rfam family "Bacterial small subunit ribosomal RNA", at positions 341 to 791 of the family's 1533-position model. The record is from RNAcentral. Lineage: Bacteria; Bacillati; Bacillota; Clostridia; Eubacteriales; Oscillospiraceae.
ACGGGAGGCAGCAGUGGGGAAUAUUGGGCAAUGGGCGAAAGCCUGACCCAGCAACGCCGCGUGAAGGAAGAAGGUCUUCGGAUUGUAAACUUCUUUUAUGAGGGACGAAGGACGUGACGGUACCUCAUGAAUAAGCCACGGCUAACUACGUGCCAGCAGCCGCGGUAAUACGUAGGUGGCGAGCGUUAUCCGGAUUUACUGGGUGUAAAGGGCGUGUAGGCGGAGCUGCAAGUCAGAUGUGAAAUCCAUGGGCUCAACCCAUGAAUUGCAUUUGAAACCGUAGCCCUUGAGUAUCGGAGAGGCAAGCGGAAUUCCUAGUGUAGCGGUGAAAUGCGUAGAUAUUAGGAGGAACACCAGUGGCGAAGGCGGCUUGCUGGACGACAACUGACGCUGAGGCGCGAAAGCGUGGGGAGCAAACAGGAUUAGAUACCCUGGU